This 393-nucleotide ribosomal RNA is filed under the name uncultured bacterium. RNAcentral describes it as "partial 16S ribosomal RNA". It matches the Rfam family "Bacterial small subunit ribosomal RNA", at positions 338 to 729 of the family's 1533-position model. The record is from RNAcentral.
CCUACGGGUGGCAGCAGUGAGGAAUAUUGGUCAAUGGGCGCAAGCCUGAACCAGCCAAGUCGCGUGAAGGAAGAAGGCACUUUGUAUUGUAAACUUCUUUUGUCGGGGAAUAAAGGCAGAGACGCGUCUCUGUAUGAAUGUACCCUAAGAAUAAGCAUCGGCUAACUCCGUGCCAGCAGCCGCGGUAAUACGGAGGAUGCGAGCGUUAUCCGGAUUUAUUGGGUUUAAAGGGUGCGCAGGCGGGGGAUAAAGUCAGCGGUAAAAUGUCGGGGCUUAACCCCGGCCGGCCGUUGAAACUGGUUUGCUAGAGAUGGAGAGAGGUAGGCGGAAUGCGUGGUGUAGCGGUGAAAUGCAUAGAGAUCACGCAGAACUCCGAUUGCGAAGGCAGCUUAC